RNAcentral lists this transfer RNA (73 nucleotides) under Marmota monax (woodchuck). RNAcentral's name for it is "tRNA.Ala". It matches the Rfam family "tRNA". Rfam says of the family: Transfer RNA (tRNA) molecules are approximately 80 nucleotides in length. Their secondary structure includes four short double-helical elements and three loops (D, anti-codon, and T loops). The record is from RNAcentral. Lineage: Eukaryota; Metazoa; Chordata; Mammalia; Rodentia; Sciuridae.
UGUGGCUGUGGCUCAGUGGUAGUGCACUUGCCUGGCAUGUGUGAGGCACUGAGUUCCAUUCUCAGCACCACAA